Molecule: ribosomal RNA, 428 nt
Filed under: uncultured archaeon
Lineage: Archaea
Description: bacterial SSU rRNA
Rfam family: Archaeal small subunit ribosomal RNA
Source: RNAcentral
UACCAGCUCUCCGAGUGGUGUGGAUGUUUAUUGGGCCUAAAGCAUCCGUAGCUGGCUGGACAAGUCCCCUGUUAAAUCCACCGAUUUAAUCGUUGGUGUGCGGGGGAUACUGUUCGGCUAGGGGACGGGAGAGGCAGACGGUAUUUUCGGGGUAGGGGUGAAAUCCUAUAAUCCCGGGAAGACCACCAGUGGCGAAGGCUGUCUGCUAGAACGCGCCCGACGGUGAGGGAUGAAAGCUGGGGGAGCGAACCGGAUUAGAUACCCGGGUAGUCCCAGCUGUAAACGAUGCAGGCUAGGUGUUUGGACGGCCACGUGCCGUUCUAGUGCCGCAGGGAAGCCGUUAAGCCUGCCGCCUGGGGAGUACGGCCGCAAGGCUGAAACUUAAGGAAUUGGCGGGGGAGCACCACAAGGGGUGAAGCUUGCGGUUU